AUGCCCUGGACAGCGACGACCAGGUCGUUGAGUACUCCGGCCAUGGCCUCCGGCGUAAACUGUUGCGGCACGGCGGAAGGCGACGACGACGAGUGGUGGACGGAAGGUGGCGGCUGGCCUUGGCCCGGCGUGGUGCUGGGUGCAGGGGAGAUCGGCUCCGACAGCGAGGCCGUGGCGCCCGCCGAUAGCGAGGCCGUGACGUCCGGCGAUGAAGCGGCGGCGGCGGUGGGGUUGGUGGCAGCGGCGGUGGGGGAGUUGGCGGGCAGCGGCAGCGGUGGUGGUGGCGAAGACAUGGUCGAAACCCGGGUACCUGAUACCAAAUUGGUAGGACUAGGGUUCCUACCGGUGUGGCUACGCAGGUUAUAG
Molecule: ribosomal RNA, 366 nt
Filed under: Triticum aestivum (bread wheat)
Lineage: Eukaryota; Viridiplantae; Streptophyta; Magnoliopsida; Poales; Poaceae
Description: partial small subunit ribosomal RNA
Source: RNAcentral